UCCUUCGCCUUGAUGCCCGGGCCGCCAGCCAUGGCCACCGCGCCGCUCUCACAAGUGCGCCAGAACUACCACCCCGACUGCGAGGCCACCAUCAACAGCCAGAUCAACCUGGAGCUCUACGCCUCCUACGUGUACCUGUCCAUGGCCUUCUACUUCGACCGCGACGACGUGGCCUUGAAGAACUUCGCCCAGUUCUUCCUGCGCCAGUCCCGCGAGGAGACCGAGCAUGCCGAGAAGCUGAUGCAGCUGCAGAACCAGCGCGGCGGCCGCAUCCGCCUCCGCGACAUCAAGAAGCCAGACCGCGACGACUGGGAGAGCGGCCUGAAGGCCAUGGAGUGCGCCCUGCACCUGGAGAAGAGCGUGAACCAGUGCCUGCUCGACCUGCACCAGCUGGCCACCGACAAGAACGACGCCCACCUGUGCGACUUCCUGGAGAGCCACUACCUGCACGAGCAAGUCAAGUCCAUCAAAGAGCUGGGGGGCUAUGUCACCAACCUGCGCAAGAUGCGGGCUCCCGAAGACGGCAUGGCAGAGUACCUCUUUGACAAGCUCACCCUGGGCGACAGCGACAAAAAGAACUGAGUUGGGACUGUUUCCCCUAUAGCCCAGGGUGCAUGGUGACUUUCCCUGAUCACCAUGCCGAGCAUGCAUAUUGCAGCAUUGCCUUUGCAAAACGUUCCAGUUUUUUUCUUCCAGU
This is a non-coding RNA of Leptonychotes weddellii (Weddell seal), 697 nucleotides long. The record is from RefSeq and is a predicted model, not a curated record. NCBI's taxonomy places the organism in Eukaryota, Metazoa, Chordata, Mammalia, Carnivora, Phocidae.